Long non-coding RNA from Dermacentor silvarum, 589 nucleotides. RefSeq lists it as uncharacterized. The record is from RefSeq and is a predicted model, not a curated record. Lineage: Eukaryota; Metazoa; Arthropoda; Arachnida; Ixodida; Ixodidae. The transcript has 4 exons.
GUAGCAGCAUCGAUGUAAUCCUCAAGGCGAAGGGCCGGAGGCCUGAGUGGAGACCGCUGCCGCGCCAUUACCGCUAUCGACUCCAGCAAGGCAGCUAGUCAGCGCUCGUAGACAGCUGCCAACAACGAAGCCCUUGCCGUGGCCACCUGGAGCACGCAGUGGUUCGUGGUCAGCGCGUCUACCUGAGCUGUACUGGUGAAACGCCAUGUCUUUCGCGACAGCGUUCUUAAGGAUCAUUGUAAUGUCGCUGUUCAUCGAGCUGCCGGGGUGGUUUCUUCACACCAUAGGAUUCGGGCCGGUGGGCGUAAAGUCGCGCAGUAUUGCAGCCAAGUGGCAGUCUCUGCACCACGGCCGCAUCAGAAAAGAUGACCUCUUCGCCACACUGCAACAGUGGGGAAUGCUGGGUCUACCUUUCAUGGUCAAGAUGUUCCUCGCUUUCGCUGGAUUCAUAAUGAGCUCCAUUCUUCUAGUAUAGAAUUAGUACAGACGUUUUCCAAAUCGCCCGUGCGUUGAGCGUGGUGCAGGAAACAGGCAGAAAGACCCAACGGUGGAUGAUUCAAAGAGAACGGAGAUUUGCAGUCUCAAUAAA